This 30-nucleotide non-coding RNA is filed under the name Homo sapiens (human). The record is from RNAcentral. Lineage: Eukaryota; Metazoa; Chordata; Mammalia; Primates; Hominidae.
UUGAUGUUUGUGUUAACAUCCAAGAGCGUG